UCAUCUCCUCGCAAUCUUCCUCCUUUUUGUGAUGCCUAGCACUCCACGAACGAAGUCGAAAGCCAACACUGCCCUUCCUAAACGGAUCUGGAAGUCCCUCUUCCCUUUCAGUUGCUAAACACAUCCCAGAUUAACGGCUACCAAGUUCUCAUGGACAAACAGCCUGAGCCUGUGGCAAUUCACAAAUCACAUGUUAACAUUCCCUUGCCUUGAGUGAGAAACUGAGAAGAGAACCCAGUCCAGGUCGUCGAUAGUCGAUACCGAGACAUGGCCCUGUUUUCUUCCAAUUCCUUGCUCGGAAUCCUCAACCCAUUCCCGCCGUUUACUACCAAAUCAGGAGAUAAGUGUAAAUGGGUCUUCUCCGCCAUUUUUAUGAAUGGCAGUCGUAAAGGGGUAAAGUUGCAUAUAGAAUCCAGUAUUACAAUGUCUACUUCUCCAACUCCCCAGACUUAUCAGCAAUCCAAGCAGGUCUGGAUAUGGACCGAAAGCAAGCAAGUUAUGACAACUGCAGUCGAGAGAGGCUGGAAUACCUUCAUUUUCUCAUCUUCCGAUAGAGCACUCGCCGACGAGUGGUCGUCAAUAGCAUUAAUAUAUCCUCUAUUCAUUGAAAAUGGCAUGCUUUUGGAUGGUGAGAAUAGAAGAGUUGCCACACUUUCUGAGGUUUCUUCACCUCAACAACUACAAGAGCUUCAACCAGCAGAUGAACUGACAGAGAACAUAGUUGUACAUUUGCCAGACUGGCAGGUCAUACCUGCAGAGAAUAUUGUUGCAGCAUUCCAAGGCAGUCAGAAAACGGUCUUUGCAAUCUCAAAAACUCCCUCUGAAGCACAAACUUUCCUUGAGGCUCUGGAACAUGGUUUGGGUGGAGUUGUUUUAAAAGUUGAGGAUUUUGGAUCUGUUCUUGAACUAAAGGCCUAUUUUGACAGAAGAAAUGAAGUAAGGAAUUUGUUGAACUUGACCAAGGUCACCAUAACACGAAUUCAAGCAGCUGGAAUGGGUGAUCGUGUAUGUGUGGAUCUUUGUAGCCUCAUGAGGCCUGGCGAAGGACUUCUGGUUGGGUCAUUCGCUAGGGGGCUUUUCCUUGUUCACUCAGAAUGCUUGGAAUCAAAUUAUAUUGCUACCAGGCCUUUCCGAGUAAAUGCAGGUCCAAUACAUGCUUACAUUGCCAUUCCAGGAGGAAAGACUUGCUAUCUUUCAGAGUUGCAGACAGGUAAAGAGGUUAUUGUGGUUGAUCAGAGUGGCCUUCAAAGAACAGCAAUUGUUGGGCGUGUAAAGAUAGAGACAAGGCCUCUCAUUCUUUUGGAGGCAAAGGCAUGGAAGAUAUCAAUUAUUAGUUAAAGAAAGCCACCAUCUUCUCAGACUAUUCCAAUUAUAUGUGAUUGGAAAAGUGGAAAACAAUCCAUGAUUGCCUAACCUCUUAAUGCCAUAGAAGUUAAAAAACACAAAAAUUGUCGGGACAAGGCCACGAUGAUGAUGAUGAUGAUGGUGGUGGUGGUGGUGGUGCAGUAAUACAUAGUGCUGAGCAUCGACAGAAUGCAGCACAAUUCUUCUGUGCUUGUUUCUAUUUUCAAUUAUUGAUGAGUUGUUGAUGCCGAUAACAAACUUCUUUAGGAUACUUGGACUAUUGCAGAAUGAUUCAGAUGGUCAAACUGUCUACAGCAUCCUUUUACAGAAUGCAGAAACAGUUGGCUUAGUAUGUCCAUUCCAAGGAAGCGAACCAACAAAGACAG
This is a non-coding RNA of Nelumbo nucifera (sacred lotus), 1730 nucleotides long. NCBI's taxonomy places the organism in Eukaryota, Viridiplantae, Streptophyta, Magnoliopsida, Proteales, Nelumbonaceae. The record is from RefSeq and is a predicted model, not a curated record.